AAUAGAUACCCUGGUAGUCCACGCCGUAAACGAUGAGUGCUAAGUGUUGGGGGGUUUCCGCCCCUCAGUGCUGCAGCUAACGCAUUAAGCACUCCGCCUGGGGAGUACGGUCGCAAGACUGAAACUCAAAGGAAUUGACGGGGGCCCGCACAAGCGGUGGAGCAUGUGGUUUAAUUCGAAGCAACGCGAAGAACCUUACCAGGUCUUGACAUCCCGGUGACCACUAUGGAGACAUAGUUUCCCCUUCGGGGGCAACGGUGACAGGUGGUGCAUGGUUGUCGUCAGCUCGUGUCGUGAGAUGUUGGGUUAAGUCCCGCAACGAGCGCAACCCUUAUUCUUAGUUGCCAUCAUUCAGUUGGGCACUCUAAGGAGACUGCCGGUGAUAAACCGGAGGAAGGUGGGGAUGACGUCAAAUCAUCAUGCCCCUUAUGACCUGGGCUACACACGUGCUACAAUGGACGGUACAAACGGUUGCCAACCCGGCGAGGGGAGCUAAUCCGAUAAACCGUUCUCAGUUCGGAUUGUAGGCUGCAACUCGCCUAC
RNAcentral lists this ribosomal RNA (543 nucleotides) under uncultured bacterium. Its description in RNAcentral is "bacterial SSU rRNA". It matches the Rfam family "Bacterial small subunit ribosomal RNA", at positions 777 to 1319 of the family's 1533-position model. The record is from RNAcentral.